This 2709-nucleotide long non-coding RNA is filed under the name Dermacentor andersoni. RNAcentral's name for it is "uncharacterized LOC126518644". The record is from RNAcentral. Lineage: Eukaryota; Metazoa; Arthropoda; Arachnida; Ixodida; Ixodidae.
ACUGCCGUUUUCCCUCACCUAGGGAUUUCGGGAGGACAGUGUAUUUAAGGAGCCGUUGGCGGCUCCUCAGGGUGCAUUCCUUUUUCAGUCAUGGUAGACUGAUGAACUGUAACAUUCUCAUGCAGAUACUGUAAAUAAAUCCCAGAUUCCUCGUUCUUGAUGAGAACAAGUCUCUCCCUUCAACAACGUCCUCAGUGUGGAUAAGUUCGAUGACCGCAUGGGCCAGCUACCAUCUAUUUCAUGCCCGACUCCAACCAUUACACCUGUCACUGCACUCAUCGAUGCAGGAGCACAUCUUUCUAUUAUGAGUGCUGCCUUCCGACGACGACUGAAAAAGCACUUCACCCCAGCGUCGGCACGCGUUGGUCGCGUUGCAGAUGGCGGUACUGUGCCUAUCAUCAGCAUAUGUACGGCAUGUGUGAGCAUCGCCGGCUGCCACACUCCUGUCCUCUUCACCGUGAUUGCUCAUUGCCCCAUGACCUAAUUCUCGGACUCGAUUUUCUCUCUGCGCAUUCUGCUCUUAUUGACUGCUCUGCCAGUACCCUUUGCCUUGAGUUGCCUAUUCUCGUAGAACCUUCUAACGCACCCCAGUGCCGCUUACGCCCCACCUGCUUUAUUUGCCUGCCACCGAAGUCAACAGCCUAUAUUGAACGGUUGUGUUGCCCACCUGUUCCUGAUGGCGAGUACCUCAUCACUCCGCUGCCCAACAUUCCACUACAAUAUGACAUCACCGUGCCUCACAGCAUUCUGACUGUUACUGCUAACCGUACUCGCAUGCCUAUCUCUAACUUUGGAUUGGGAAAGCAAAUCCUACUGCAAGGUAUUUGCCUUGUCAACGUUGAUUGUCUCGGCGACCAUCACGUAGCAGCUUUAUCAACCGAUGGUUCUUCUGAGCUUAGCAGGCCCCUCGCACCAGCCUCGGGCACCGAUGCCAACAUAAAGAAAAUGGUUGCGGUGGACCUAUUCUCUGCGCAGGCUGACAACCUUUGCCAAGUAUUAUCGUCCUACCGAGAUAUUUUUUACUUCAAACGAUCGCCCUUUAGGCCAGACGCUCGCGGUCCAGCAUCGGAUUUCUACUGGCGAUGCUACGCCUAUUCACCGAUGACCGUAUCAAGUUUCUGCAUCGGAACACCGAGUAAUUCUAAGUGAAGUGAACAAAAUGCUAGAUAAAAACAUCAUUAAGCUUUCUUCAAGUCCCUGGCCGUCGCCUGUGGUUUUGGUUAAGAAGGACGGCACGUGGAGCUUCUGUGUGGACUACCGUCAUCUGAACAAAAUUACUAAGAAGGACGUCUACCCGCUCCCAAAUAUAGACGAUGCCCUUCACUGCCUUCACGGUUCCAGCUAUUUCUCUUCUGUUGAUCUUCGUUCUGGAUACUGGCAGAUUGCUGUUGGCGAUAUGGACAGAAAAAUAUGCUCAUUCAGCUUAGUAAGUUUAAAAAAGUAGGGUACGCUGUUCACUCCAUAGAGAAAUGUUUUGCGUUCCUGGUUCAUUGGCCUUGAGACGAAAUUGCCCUCGCUGUACAGAACUAUGACAUGGUUCAACUUCAAAAGUUCCUCCCAUGAGAAUGCAAAGAAGCUCUCCAGUAGGACGGGUGCACUUGUCCAAUGUGGCUAUCACUAAUAUUACCCACAGUCAAGAUCCUAUGGCACAUAUUUUUCUUUGAUUAACAAGGCCAACGUAAAAGCAAGAUGUGUGUUUUUACACCAUAGAUCAGCAGCACAUAAGCUCCACCUUAAAUGUGAUUGUUCACCGAAAUCUGCCUGCAUUUGGAAAGUUAGUGCAAACCUUAAAAUUAAAUUAGAUUGUGGGGUUUUACGUGCCAAAACCACUUUCUGAUUAUGAGGCAUGCCGUAGUGGAGGACUUUCGAAAUUUCGACCACCUGGGGUUCUUUAACGUGCACCUAAAUCUGAGUACACGGGUGUUUUCGCAUUUCGCCCCCAUCGAAAUGCGGCCGCCGUGGCCGGGAUUCGAUCCCACUACCUCGUGCUCAGCAGCUUAACACUAUAGCCACUGAGCAACCACAGCGGGUAGUGCGAACCUUCUGUGCUGUUGGCACCCAAUUUCAAAGUGUUUGCCCAGCCCUGUGCACUGUAACUUGAUGGUUCCAAAUUGCUGUUUUUUAGGCCCCCGCCCAACUGGUUUGUUGAAAUAGAUGUUAAAACGAAUGACAGCUACAAUUGCCUGGACACUUAUGAGAUUCCACUGUAAUUUCAGUGGUGUUCACGGCAACAACAGAUUUGGUGAAGUGAGGGACAGGCAGAGUGUUAAAGAGGACUGUGAAAUCCAUCAAACAGUUAUGUUGAGCUAACAAUGUGGACUGAUUGUAUAAGGCGAGCAAGCUGCCAAGAAUUGCUAAGCUUGAUGUGCAGACCUCAUUUCUUAGGCAAAUAAACUGUGCAAUGUCUUGUUUUAUUAUUGAUGACUGCUCUGCCAGUCUGCCUGAGUUGUCAUUUUUUGUAUUUAUCAUAAAGCAGGCACUUUCAUGUUUUUGUAGUUGUGUGACACAGAGUCAUUUGUUUCUUACAGCUGUCAUCUUCUCGGAAGCAGGCGCUCAUGCUUGGAGACCUGCAGAGCACGAACUGCAGCAUGUGUGGCGAGCCCGGGAGACAGCAAGAGCCACAGGAGUCCUGGACUAAGGGCGCCUCCCACACAAGCAGAAAGACACCCGCUUUUCCUUUAUUUUUUUUAAUAAAUGUUUUUCCUUCUC